CGUAAGGCGCCGAAUGAGUCAUUAAAAAAUUAACAUCAUCCGAUCCCUAGUCGGCAUAGUUUAUGGUUAAGACUACGACGGUAUCUGAUCGUCUUCGAUCCCCUAACUUUCGUUCUUGAUUAAUGAAAACAUCCUUGGCAAAUGCUUUCGCAGUAGUUAGUCUUCAAUAAAUCCAAGAAUUUCACCUCUGACAAUUGAAUACUAAUGCCCCCAACUAUCCCUAUUAAUCAUUACAUCGAUCCUAGAAACCAACAAAAUAGAAUCGGAUGUCCUAUUUCAUUAUUCCAUGCUAAUGUAUUCAAGCGUGAGCCUGCUUUAAACACUCUAAUUUUUUCAAGGUAACAGUCCUAAUUCCCCGUAACACCAAAUUAAUGGCAUUACGGUUCUUUAGAAGGUGAGAAAUCAAUGAUAACAGUGCAUACCAACGGCAUGACCGAAAUAUUGAUCCCGAAAUUCAACUACGAGCUUUUAACUGCAACAACUUUAAUAUACGCUAUUGGAGCUGGAAUUACCGCGGCUGCUGGCACCAGACUUGCCCUCCAAUUGUUUCUCGUUAAGAGAUUUAAAUUGUACUCAUUCCAAUUACAAGAUCCAAAAGAACCCUGUAUUGUUAUUUAUUGUCACUACCUCCCCGUGUCGGGAUUGGGUAAUUUGCGCGCCUGCUGCCUUCCUUGGAUGUGGUAGCCGUUUCUCAGGCUCCCUCUCCGGUGUCGUGCCCUAACACCCCGUUACCCGUUACCACCAUGGUAGGCC
This 753-nucleotide ribosomal RNA is filed under the name uncultured Glomus. Its description in RNAcentral is "partial 18S ribosomal RNA". Lineage: Eukaryota; Fungi; Glomeromycota; Glomeromycetes; Glomerales; Glomeraceae. The record is from RNAcentral.